This 492-nucleotide ribosomal RNA is filed under the name uncultured bacterium. RNAcentral describes it as "partial 16S ribosomal RNA". It matches the Rfam family "Bacterial small subunit ribosomal RNA", at positions 29 to 507 of the family's 1533-position model. The record is from RNAcentral.
AGUGAACGCUGGCGGUAGGCCUAACACAUGCAAGUCGAACGGCAGCACAGUAAGAGCUUGCUCUUACGGGUGGCGAGUGGCGGACGGGUGAGGAAUACAUCGGAAUCUACUUUUUCGUGGGGGAUAACGUAGGGAAACUUACGCUAAUACCGCAUACGACCUACGGGUGAAAGCAGGGGAUCUUCGGACCUUGCGCGAUUGAAUGAGCCGAUGUCGGAUUAGCUAGUUGGCGGGGUAAAGGCCCACCAAGGCGAUGAUCCGUAGCUGGUCUGAGAGGAUGAUCGGCCACACUGGAACUGAGACACGGUCCAGACUCCUACGGGAGGCAGCAGUGGGGAAUAUUGGGCAAUGGGCGCAAGCCUGAUCCAGCCAUACCGCGUGGGUGAAGAAGGCCUUCGGGUUGUAAAGCCCUUUUGUUGGGAAAGAAAAGCAGCAGGUUAAUACCCCGCUGUUCUGACGGUACCCAAAGAAUAAGCACCGGCUAACUUCGUG